RNAcentral lists this transfer RNA (72 nucleotides) under Escherichia phage EcS1. It matches the Rfam family "tRNA". Rfam says of the family: Transfer RNA (tRNA) molecules are approximately 80 nucleotides in length. Their secondary structure includes four short double-helical elements and three loops (D, anti-codon, and T loops). Lineage: Duplodnaviria; Heunggongvirae; Uroviricota; Caudoviricetes; Pantevenvirales; Straboviridae. The record is from Rfam by way of RNAcentral. RNAcentral also lists the same sequence under 1 other name.
GGGAGUUUAGCUGAGACGGAUUAGCGCUUGCCUGAAGAGCUCGAGAGGUUGGAUCGUUACCAACAGCUCCCA